AAUAAACAUAUAUACACAAUACUGUGAACAAACCAGAGUGUAUAAAACAUGUAAUAUAUUAUAUAUUUAGCAAUGAAUGUUUUAUCAUGGAAUAUUGCUAUUCAUAUUAAUAUCGAUGGAGAUAGUUGGAGUUAAGAGUACUGAUAGGCGAGCGGUGAAAUGCAUUGACCCUAUUAAGACUAACAAAAGCGAAAGCACUUAACUAGAUUAUUCUCUUUGUAUUAUUUUACAAUGAAGAGCGAAGGUUGGGGGAACAAAGAGGAUCAGAUACCCUCGUAGUCCUAUUUUUACAUCAAACUAUGGGAUUUCAUUCACACUAAACACUAAACAUUAUAAUUAUAAUUAUGAUUGAGUAUAUGUCAAAAUAUUACUCUCAUAUUAAAUAAUUAUUAUAUAUAUGAUUAUAUGUACUUUGAGCUCAUAUAAUUAUAUAGGUGAGAUGUAAGCAUUAUAAAGUGAAUAAUAUACAAGUAAUAUUGUAUUAUUAUGAUCUUUAAAAUAAAAAAUGUAAUGUGAUG
RNAcentral lists this ribosomal RNA (518 nucleotides) under Marginopora vertebralis. RNAcentral's name for it is "SSU rRNA". The stretch from base 1 to 375 matches the Rfam family "Eukaryotic small subunit ribosomal RNA", at positions 734 to 1114 of the family's 1831-position model. Lineage: Eukaryota; Foraminifera; Miliolida; Soritidae. The record is from RNAcentral.